UUUCCUGCACUACCGAAAUACUUAAAAGAUGCAAGGGACACAGGAGUGGAAGGAAAGCGAGGAAGAGGAAAGACUCGUAUCGAAAGAUAUAGUGAAAAUUAAAGUAACGAAUUUCCAAGAAGCACACUGGCGAGAAAAGCUUGUAGAUAUUGUAUAGAGGUACCCGUACCGCAAACCGACACAGGUAGAUGAGGAGAGGAUCCUAAGAUGAGCGAGAGAAGCAUUGUUAAGGAACUCGGCAAACCAACCCCGUAACUUAGGGAGAAGGGGUGCCUAUGUAAAAAUAGGCCGCAGAGAAGAGGCCCAAGCAACUGUUUAACAAAAACACAGGUUUCUGCUAAAUCGAAAGAUGAAGUAUAGGAGCUGACGCCUGCCCAGUGCUGGAAGGUUAAGGGAAAAUGUAAGUACAGAAGUAUGAAGCAUAGAACCAAAGCCCCAGUGAACGGCGGCCGUAACUAUAACGGUCCUAAGGUAGCGAAAUUCCUUGUCAGGUAAGUUCUGACCCGCACGAAAGGCGUAAUGAUUUGGGCGCUGUCUCGACAAUGUACUCGGCGAAAUUGUAGUACUAGUGAAGAUGCUAGUUACCUGCGACAAGACAGAAAGACCCCAUGGAGCUUUACUGUAGCUUGAUACUGGGUUUCGAUAAUUUAUGUACAGGAUAGGUGGGAUGCAAAGAAGCAAGUGCGCCAGCAUUUGUGGAGCAGACGUUGGGAUACCACCCUUAAGUUAUUGGAAUUCUAACCUGUAGUCAUGAACUGGCUAGGGGACAAUGUCAGGCGGGCAGUUUGACUGGGGCGGUCGCCUCCAAAAGAGUAACGGAGGCGCGCAAAGGUUUCCUCAGCGCGGACAGAAAUCGCGCAAGAGAGUGCAAAGGCAGAAGGAAGCUUAACUGAGAGACUGACAAGUCGACCAGAUACGAAAGUAGGUCUUAGUGAUCCGGCGGUAGUGAGUGGAAAUGCCGUCGCUCAACGGACAAAAGUUACCCUGGGGAUAACAGGCUUAUCUCCCCCAAGAGUUCACAUCGACGGGGAGGUUUGGCACCUCGAUGUCGGCUCAUCACAUCCUGGAGCGGAAGUACGUUCCAAGGGUUGGGCUGUUCGCCCAUUAAAGUGGUACGCGAGCUGGGUUCAGAACGUCGUGAGACAGUUCGGUCCUUAUCUGUCGCAGGCGCAGGAUAUUUGAGGGGAGUUGACCUUAGUACGAGAGGACCAGGUUGAACUUACCAAUGGUGUAUCAGUUGUCAUACCAAUGGCACGGCUGAGUAGCUAAGUAGGGAAGGGAUAAACGCUGAAAGCAUCUAAGUGUGAAGCCCACCCCAAGAUAAGAUAUCCCAUACCGUAAGGUAGUAAGAUUCCACAAAGACUAUGUGGAGAUAGGUUGGAGGUGUAAGUGCAGUAAUGCAUGUAGCUGACCAAUACUAAUAAAUCGAGGGCUUAACC
RNAcentral lists this ribosomal RNA (1439 nucleotides) under metagenome. Its description in RNAcentral is "bacterial LSU rRNA". It matches the Rfam family "Bacterial large subunit ribosomal RNA", at positions 1435 to 2925 of the family's 2925-position model. The record is from RNAcentral.